AGAAAGACAUAGUGGUUAUGAAAUUGGCUUGAAACCAGUUCCGGGGGGUUCGAAUCCUUCCUUUCUUA
Molecule: transfer RNA, 68 nt
Filed under: Dacnomys millardi (Millard's rat)
Lineage: Eukaryota; Metazoa; Chordata; Mammalia; Rodentia; Muridae
Description: tRNA-Ser
Rfam family: tRNA
About the family: Transfer RNA (tRNA) molecules are approximately 80 nucleotides in length. Their secondary structure includes four short double-helical elements and three loops (D, anti-codon, and T loops).
Source: RNAcentral